RNAcentral lists this ribosomal RNA (468 nucleotides) under uncultured bacterium. Its description in RNAcentral is "partial 16S ribosomal RNA". It matches the Rfam family "Bacterial small subunit ribosomal RNA", at positions 28 to 507 of the family's 1533-position model. The record is from RNAcentral.
GACGAACGCUGGCGGCGUGCUUAACACAUGCAAGUCGAACGGAAAGGCCCUGCUUUUGUGGGGUGCUCGAGUGGCGAACGGGUGAGUAACACGUGAGUAGCCUGCCCUUGACUGUGGGAUAACUUCAGGAAACUGGGGCGAAUACCGGAUAUGAGCUCCUGCUACAUGGUGGGGGUGGGAAAGUUUCGGCGGUUGGGGAUGGACUCGCGGCUUAUCAGCGUGUUGGUGGGGUAGUGGCUUACCAAGGCUUUGACGGGUAGCCGGACUGAGAGGGUGACCGGCCACAUUGGGCCUGAGAUACGGGCAAGACUCCUACGGGAGGAAGCAGUGGGGAAUAUUGCACGAUGGGCGGAAGCAUGAUGCAGCAACGCCGCGUGCGGGAUGACGGCCUUCGGGUUGUAACCCGCUUUCGCCUGUGACGCAGCGUGAGUGACGGUAAUGGGUAAAGAAGCACCGGCUAACUACGUG